UGGACCGCUCCAGUUUCUCAACAUCCAUUUUGAACAGUGGUACCCAGAACUGGAUUCUAGGAAGGAAUGAAGUUAUCCCUCAUUAAGUUGCAAUCAUAAUGUAGUGCAAUUAUACAUUUGUUAUCUGGGAAAGGAAAGGAAAAGAAAGGAAGUACUGAUGAAUAACUUACAUACAAGAUCUUAGAGUGAGGUCAGAACAGCUUCUGAGCGGGGCAUAACUGUGGAAAAGACUCUCUCUGCCAAACUUCUAAACCAGGUAAAAAGAAGAAGAUUGAAGAGGACAAAGUGAAGGAGAGAAGUGGUAAGGAAGAAGGAUUUGGAAAUGUCAGAAGAGGAGAGAAAAAAGAAGGGAAGAAGUUAAAGCAAAUAAAGUUUGCGAGAGAAGAAAUCCGAAGGGUGCCCCUGAUGGAGCCUUCACCAGUAGCUGUUUCACCAGCACUCAGGAAAAGCCUCGGAAGGAGAACGCCUCGGCCUCUGCCACCCGUUCUCACUUGGUGCCCUUUGAGUUUGGCAGCAGCAUCCAACAUGAUGGUGCGAGGGCACAGCCCAACUCUGCCAACUUCACAGCUACACAAGGGCCAGGCCUGGAUACAGACUUUGGAGCCAGUGCUGGUGUCUCUCUGAGGAUCUUGUCAUCAGACAGCGAAGGGAGUCCUGACAUGCCCCCCUUGCCGUCGGGACGCUUUGAGUGGGACUACUACGACCCAAGCUUUGAGAGGAAGCCGCCGCCUCGCAUAAGCAGCAAACAAUAUUGGCUGUAGUAUAAAUGUUGGAUGUUGAUGCGGGGAGAGAUGGAAAGAGACAGCAUGCAAACAGUUCUGGUUUUUACUUGGUUAUCAGUUUUGGUCGCUCUGCCUUCCUCUGUUGUCUUUGGCUAUGAAAGGAAAACUUCUCUGCCCUGUUGAAUGUCUCUAACUUGGAAUGAGGUUGGUUGGUUGGUUUUCACACCCCAUGCAACACAAUUGGUUACCCUUUGGCUUCAAACCCUCUAAGCAUUUGCACCAACACAGUGUUGGCAUCACCAAUGCACAAGAGCUUACCCCAACAACUGCAAUCCCUGCACACACACAGGCAAAGCAAAUGAACCUUUGCACCAACAUCACAAUCAACAGGAUUGGGAAGAACCGGCAUGUUCACCUGGGAAUGUCCACCUCAGCACUUUGGGUGGGUUUGAUAGGACACUUCAAAUAGGAAUGUCUUAUGUUGAAACAAUGUAUUAUUGGUGUUUAUUGUUUACAUGAUUUGCACAACUAGCUCUGUCUCCACAAAGGUGGGUGGCUGGGUGGACAUUGUGUUGAUGAAAAAAGCCUCAAGGCACCAUGUAGCGCUUGAUUUUUGUUUUGUGAACUUGUGCUUAUUAAAGAUGGAGCUUUUAUUCUUGUCUUGACAGCUUCCUUCCGCCUG
This is a long non-coding RNA of Sceloporus undulatus (fence lizard), 1404 nucleotides long. RefSeq lists it as uncharacterized. The record is from RefSeq and is a predicted model, not a curated record. The transcript is spliced from 4 exons. Lineage: Eukaryota; Metazoa; Chordata; Lepidosauria; Squamata; Phrynosomatidae.